GCGCGCUUAGCUCAGUUGGUAGAGCAUCUCAUUGACGUUGAGAGGGCCGGGGGUUCGAGUCCCUCAGCGCGCACAA
RNAcentral lists this transfer RNA (76 nucleotides) under Candidatus Taylorbacteria bacterium RIFCSPHIGHO2_01_FULL_46_22b. Its description in RNAcentral is "tRNA-Val". It matches the Rfam family "tRNA". Rfam says of the family: Transfer RNA (tRNA) molecules are approximately 80 nucleotides in length. Their secondary structure includes four short double-helical elements and three loops (D, anti-codon, and T loops). Further hydrogen bonds mediate the characteristic L-shaped molecular structure. tRNAs have two regions of fundamental functional importance: the anti-codon, which is responsible for specific mRNA codon recognition, and the 3' end, to which the tRNAs corresponding amino acid is attached (by aminoacyl-tRNA synthetases). tRNAs cope with the degeneracy of the genetic code in two manners: having more than one tRNA (with a specific anti-codon) for a particular amino acid; and 'wobble' base-pairing, i.e. permitting non-standard base-pairing at the 3rd anti-codon position. The record is from RNAcentral. Lineage: Bacteria; Candidatus Tayloriibacteriota.